AGGGAAUCUUCGGCAAUGGACGGAAGUCUGACCGAGCAACGCCGCGUGAGUGAGGAAGGCCUUCGGGUCGUAAAGCUCUGUUGCCAGGGAAGAACGCCGAGGGGAGGGAAUGCCCCUUGGGUGACGGUACCUGAGAAGAAAGCCCCGGCUAACUACGUGCCAGCAGCCGCGGUAAUACGUAGGGGGCAAGCGUUGUCCGGAAUUAUUGGGCGUAAAGCGCGCGCAGGCGGUACAUUAAGUCUUGUGUUUAACUCCAGGGCUCAACCCUGGCACGCAUGGGAAACUGGUGUACUGGAGUGCAGGAGAGGAAAGCGGAAUUCCACGUGUAGCGGUGAAAUGCGUAGAGAUGUGGAGGAACACCAGUGGCGAAGGCGGCUUUCUGGCCUGCAACUGACGCUGAGGCGCGAAAGCGUGGGGAGCAAAC
Molecule: ribosomal RNA, 424 nt
Filed under: uncultured bacterium
Lineage: Bacteria
Description: bacterial SSU rRNA
Rfam family: Bacterial small subunit ribosomal RNA
Source: RNAcentral